GCCCACAUAGCUCAGCGGGUAGAGCGUCGCCUUGGUAAGGCGGAGGUCACCGGUUCAAGCCCGGUUGUGGGCU
This 73-nucleotide transfer RNA is filed under the name Thermacetogenium phaeum DSM 12270. It matches the Rfam family "tRNA". Rfam says of the family: Transfer RNA (tRNA) molecules are approximately 80 nucleotides in length. Their secondary structure includes four short double-helical elements and three loops (D, anti-codon, and T loops). Lineage: Bacteria; Bacillati; Bacillota; Clostridia; Thermoanaerobacterales; Thermoanaerobacteraceae. The record is from Rfam by way of RNAcentral.